AUUGAACGCUGGCGGCAGGCUUAACACAUGCAAGUCGAGCGGAGAUGAGGUGCUUGCACCUUAUCUUAGCGGCGGACGGGUGAGUAAUGCUUAGGAAUCUGCCUAUUAGUGGGGGACAACAUUCCGAAAGGAAUGCUAAUACCGCAUACGCCCUACGGGGGAAAGCAGGGGAUCUUCGGACCUUGCGCUAAUAGAUGAGCCUAAGUCGGAUUAGCUAGUUGGUGGGGUAAAGGCCUACCAAGGCGACGAUCUGUAGCGGGUCUGAGAGGAUGAUCCGCCACACUGGGACUGAGACACGGCCCAGACUCCUACGGGAGGCAGCAGUGGGGAAUAUUGGACAAUGGGCGGAAGCCUGGUCCAGCCAUGCCGCGUGUGUGAAGAAGGCCUUUUGGUUGUAAAGCACUUUAAGCGAGGAGGAGGCUACCUGGAUUAAUACUCUAGGAUAGUGGACGUUACUCGCAGAAUAAGCACCGGCUAACUCUGUGCCAGCCGCCGCCGUAA
RNAcentral lists this ribosomal RNA (501 nucleotides) under uncultured bacterium. RNAcentral's name for it is "partial 16S ribosomal RNA". It matches the Rfam family "Bacterial small subunit ribosomal RNA", at positions 30 to 523 of the family's 1533-position model. The record is from RNAcentral.